CCAAUAGCGUAUAUUAAAGUUGUUGCAGUUAAAAAGCUCGUAGUUGAAUUUUAGGCCUGGCCGGGCGGUCCGUCUUUGGCGAGUACUGUUCUGUGUCGGGUCUUACCUUCUGGUGAACCGGAAUGUUCUUAAUUGAGUGUACCGGGGAGCCAGGACCAUUACCUUGAAAAAAUUAGAGUGUUUAAAGCAGGCAUUUGCUUGAAUAGAUUAGCAUGGAAUAAUAGAAUAGGACGUUGGUUCUAUUUUGUUGGUCUAGGACCACCGUAAUGAUUAAUAGGGAUAGUUGGGGGCAUUAGUAUUCAAUUGUCAGAGGUGAAAUUCUUGGAUUUAUUGAAGACUAACUAUUGCGAAAGCAUUUGCCAAGGAUGUUUUCAUUAAUCAAGAACGAAAGUUAGGGGAUCGAAGACGAUCAGAUACCGUCGUAGUCUUAACCAUAAACUAUGCCGACUAGGAAUCGGGCGACGUUAUUUUUAUGACUCGCUCGGCGCCUUAUGGGAAACCAAAGUGUUUGGNUUC
Molecule: ribosomal RNA, 516 nt
Filed under: uncultured Archaeospora
Lineage: Eukaryota; Fungi; Glomeromycota; Glomeromycetes; Archaeosporales; Archaeosporaceae
Description: SSU rRNA
Rfam family: Eukaryotic small subunit ribosomal RNA
Source: RNAcentral